This is a non-coding RNA of Pantherophis guttatus, 547 nucleotides long. The record is from RefSeq and is a predicted model, not a curated record. Lineage: Eukaryota; Metazoa; Chordata; Lepidosauria; Squamata; Colubridae.
CUCUACGGGUCAGUGCCAUCUAAAGGGGGCACUGCUCAUCUCCGUUUCAAGGCCACUGAGCCAGCGCUGUCUGAAGAUACUUCUGUGGUCCUGUGGCCAGCAUGAUGUCAUGGAACGCUGUUACGUACACUUUGUCAGAUCCACUGAAUCGAAUUAACUGGAGACGAGGGAGGCGUGAGGAGGCGUGGCCAAAACAACUCGACUCAGUAUCUGAUCAGACCAUCUAGAUCAUCCCACUCCUGACCCACUCCGCAGCCUACGAAGCAUUAGUUGCAUAGCACUUUGAGAACUUAUUUCUUCAACAGCUCUGAACCUCCUUUCAAUUCAAUCUCAGCUGCAACAAUCAUUAAAAACAAUGAGCAUGUCUGGCGCAAGUAAACGUGCUCAGACUAUCAACCAUUCACUAAGUACCUGGCAUUGGAUCCAUAAGUAUAACUAGAUUCUGACACGGGAAGAAAAGCUUUAGCACUCAUUGAAAAGACUCCGCUUUCCAUGCAAAGGCGUUAAAUGAUGCACCUUUGGCAGGACCGAGGAAAAAACUUUUUGA